Molecule: ribosomal RNA, 253 nt
Filed under: uncultured bacterium
Lineage: Bacteria
Description: partial 16S ribosomal RNA
Rfam family: Bacterial small subunit ribosomal RNA
Source: RNAcentral
UACGGGGGGGGCAAGCGUUGUUCGGAAUUACUGGGCGUAAAGGGUUUGUAGGUGGCUUGUUAAGUCAGACGUGAAAUCCCUCAGCUUAACUGGGGAACUGCGUCUGAUACUAGCGAGCUUGAGUGCAGGAGAGGAACGCGGAAUUCCAGGUGUAGCGGUGAAAUGCGUAGAUAUCUGGAGGAACACCGGUGGCGAAGGCGGCGUUCUGGACUGCAACUGACACUGAGAAACGAAAGCCAGGGUAGCAAACGGG